UGCUUCUUUCUUCUUCCUUGCCACCUUGCUUGGCUUACUCCUACCUUUCGUUUUCUUCUUGAAAGAAAUACUUUUUGCAGCUUCGACAGCAUCCUCCAAUUCGGCCUCUAUCUCCUGUUUAGCGAGCUUUUCUCUCUUUCUUGUAGGUUUCACAGAACCAAUCUUGGUUGGGUUCAACAUGAUAGUCUCAGGUGGGAGUUUGUCAAGAAGAGAAUGCACUUCCCUCUCUUUCCUCUGUUUAGAAGUUUCAAAUGGAUUCGCCACCCAAGAGUCAAAGUUGGGUUCUCCGGAUCCAGGAAUCAAGAUAGAUGACCAACCCAUGGAGUGCCCGAUGCCCAAAACAUCUUCAUAGGGUCUGAACGCCAACUUUUGAAUUUGGUAACCUUUGGCAAUGGAAUGGCUCAUAUAGCGGCUGUAAUUAUGUGAUCCUGAGAAAUCUCUCAAUAUCUGUACAAAAGAUCCAGAGGCAGUAGCGAGCAAACCUUUCUGACUGAAAUUCAUCGUCUUGGUAUGUCCUGGUAAAGUUUGCAGAACCUCAAACUUCCUUAAGUCCCAAAUCUUUAUCUUCCUCUCCAUACCAGCCGUUGCCAUGAGAUGGCCAUUGGAAUGAAAUGCCAAAGCCGUAACAGGGCCAUGGUGACACAACAUCUUGACAAGAGGAGCAGAACUGGUUGGCUUCCACAUGCUUACUGUGCCACCAGAAUGGCCAACAGCAACUACACUAUUGAAGGGAUUUACCUGCAAUACAUCGGACCGACCUAGACCAGUUCGGAAAUUGCCUAUCAUCUCCCCUGUCGUGACAUCUUGAUAAUGGAGCUGCCCAAAUUUGUUUAUCGAUGCUAAUAAGAAAUGUUUGCUCAAAAACUGAAGCUUCAGUGCAGCACCAUGUUCCUGAAAGAAAGAAAAGAGAAUUCAAGUACAUUUAAUGCUAAUGGACUGAAUACACGUUUGAGUCUCCAAGAGAAGACCAAGUGCACACAAAUAGACAAAAUUAAUCCUUAUAGCACAAAAUUCCCUCGGCCUCUAUCUCCUGUUUAGCGAGCUUUUCUCUCUUUCUUGUAGGUUUCACAGAACCAAUCUUGGUUGGGUUCAACAUGAUAGUCUCAGGUGGGAGUUUGUCAAGAAGAGAAUGCACUUCCCUCUCUUUCCUCUGUUUAGAAGUUUCAAAUGGAUUCGCCACCCAAGAGUCAAAGUUGGGUUCUCCGGAUCCAGGAAUCAAGAUAGAUGACCAACCCAUGGAGUGCCCGAUGCCCAAA
This 1256-nucleotide long non-coding RNA is filed under the name Olea europaea (common olive). RNAcentral describes it as "long non-coding RNA (OEUR_LNC001365)". The record is from RNAcentral. Lineage: Eukaryota; Viridiplantae; Streptophyta; Magnoliopsida; Lamiales; Oleaceae.